GUGAGGAAUAUUGGUCAAUGGACGAGAGUCUGAACCAGCCAAGUCGCGUGAAGGAAGACGGUUCUAUGAAUUGUAAACUUCUUUUGUGCAGGAAUAAAGUGGGUUACGUGUAACCUUUUGUAUGUACUGUACGAAUAAGGAUCGGCUAACUCCGUGCCAGCAGCCGCGGUAAUACGGAGGAUCCGAGCGUUAUCCGGAUUUAUUGGGUUUAAAGGGUGCGUAGGUGGAUUGAUAAGUCAGCGGUGAAAGUUUGCAGCUUAACUGUAAAAUUGCCGUUGAAACUGUCGGUCUGGAGUGCAAAUGAGGUAGGCGGAAUGUGUUGUGUAGCGGUGAAAUGCUUAGAUAUAACACAGAACUCCGAUUGCGAAGGCAGCUUACUGGGAUGCAACUGACACUGAUGCACGAAAGCGUGGGUAUCAAACAGGAUUAGAAACCCCGGUAGUCC
Molecule: ribosomal RNA, 445 nt
Filed under: uncultured bacterium
Lineage: Bacteria
Description: partial 16S ribosomal RNA
Rfam family: Bacterial small subunit ribosomal RNA
Source: RNAcentral